Molecule: ribosomal RNA, 440 nt
Filed under: uncultured bacterium
Lineage: Bacteria
Description: bacterial SSU rRNA
Rfam family: Bacterial small subunit ribosomal RNA
Source: RNAcentral
GAUGAACGCUAGCGGGAGGCUUAACACAUGCAAGUCGAGCGGGAUUGGCAGCAAUGCCAUGAGAGCGGCGCACGGGUGCGUAACGCGUAUGCAACCUGCCUCAUACAGGGGGAUAGCCCAUGGAAACGUGGAUUAAUAUCCCAUAGUGCCAUUAGCCCGCAUGGGCAUAUGGUUAAAACCGNGGUGGUAUGAGAUGGGCAUGCGUCCGAUUAGGUAGUUGGUGGGGCAACGGCCCACCAAGCCGAUGAUCGGUAGGGGUCCUGAGAGGGUUACCCCCCCAGACUGGUACUGAGACACGGACCAGACUCCUACGGGAGGCAGCAGUGAGGAAUAUUGGCAAUGGGCGAGAGCCUGAACAGCAUCCCGCGUGCAGGAUCGACGGCCCUAUGGGUUNUAAACUGCUUUUCCGNGCCAAGAACCCCCCGAGUGUCGGGGCUGAC